RNAcentral lists this ribosomal RNA (273 nucleotides) under uncultured soil bacterium. Its description in RNAcentral is "partial 16S ribosomal RNA". It matches the Rfam family "Bacterial small subunit ribosomal RNA", at positions 26 to 282 of the family's 1533-position model. The record is from RNAcentral.
AGAAUCAACGCUGGCGGCGUGCCUCAGACAUGCAAGUCGAACGCGAAAGUUUCCUUCGGGAAGCGAGUAGAGUGGCGCACGGGUGAGUAACACGUAGGUAAUCUACCUUUGGAUGGGGAAUAACAAUCGGAAACGGUUGCUAAUACCGCAUAAUGCAGCGGCACCUAAUGGUGACAGUUGUUAAAGCGGGGGAUCGAAAGACCUCGCGUCUGAAGAGGAGCCUGCGGCGGAUUAGCUAGUUGGUAAGGUAAUGGCUUACCAAGGCUACGAUCC